GAUGAACGCUGGCGGCGUGCCUAAUACAUGCAAGUCGAGCGAACGGACGAGAAGCUUGCUUCUCUGAUGUUAGCGGCGGACGGGUGAGUAACACGUGGAUAACCUACCUAUAAGACUGGUAUAACUUCGGGAAACCGUAGCUAAUACCGGAUAAUAUUUUGAACCGCAUGGUUCAAAAGUGAUAGACGGUCUUGCUGUCACUUAUAGAUGGAUCCGCGCUGCAUUAGCUAGUUGGUAAGGUAACGGCUUACCAAGGCAACGAUGCAUAGCCGACCUGAGAGGGUGAUCGGCCACACUGGAACUGAGACACGGUCCAGACUCCUACGGGAGGCAGCAGUAGGGAAUCUUCCGCAAUGGGCGAAAGCCUGACGGAGCAACGCCGCGUGAGUGAUGAAGGUCUUCGGAUCGUAAAACUCUGUUAUUAGGGAAGAACAUAUGUGUAAGUAACUGUGCACAUCUUGACGGUACCUAAUCAGAAAGCCACGGCUAACUACGUG
This 497-nucleotide ribosomal RNA is filed under the name uncultured bacterium. Its description in RNAcentral is "partial 16S ribosomal RNA". It matches the Rfam family "Bacterial small subunit ribosomal RNA", at positions 28 to 507 of the family's 1533-position model. The record is from RNAcentral.